GUAGCUGCGGUAAUUCCAGCUCCAAUAGCGUAUAUUAAAGUUGUUGCAGUUAAAAAGCUCGUAGUUGAAUUUUGGGAUCAAUAUGUCAGUCAUGUCUCUGGCACAUAUUGGCGUUAUUGGUUUCUUCCUUUUGACGAACCACGAUGUCAUUAAUUUGGUAUUAUGGGAAAUCAGAACUGUUACUUUGAAAAAAUUAGAGUGUUUAAAGCAAGCUCACAUUUGAAUACAUUAGCAUGAAAUAAUGAAAUAGGACGUUUGAUUCUAUUUUGUUGGUUUCUAGGAUCGAUGUAAUGAUUAAUAGGGAUAGUUGGGGCAUUAGUAUUCAAUUGUCAGAGGUAAAAUUCUUGGAUUUAUUAAAGACUAACUACUGUGAAAGCAUUUGCCAAAGAUGUUUUCAUUAAUCAAGAAUGAAAGUUAGGGAAUCGAAGAUAAUUAGAUACCGUCGUAGUCUUAACCAUAAACUAUGCUGACUAGGGAUCGGAUGAUGUUAAUUUUUUAAUGACUCAUUCGGCACCUUACGGG
Molecule: ribosomal RNA, 522 nt
Filed under: uncultured Glomeromycotina
Lineage: Eukaryota; Fungi; Glomeromycota
Description: SSU rRNA
Rfam family: Eukaryotic small subunit ribosomal RNA
Source: RNAcentral